Long non-coding RNA from Homo sapiens (human), 411 nucleotides. The record is from Ensembl. NCBI's taxonomy places the organism in Eukaryota, Metazoa, Chordata, Mammalia, Primates, Hominidae.
GAAUUAGCAUUACUACCAGCUGGUGUCCUACUUAUGUUAUAGAAAUGUGACAGCAAAUGUGAUAUGAACUCCUUAGAAGCAUUUUUAUACACAUUGCUGGCUUUAAUUGUGAAUGCUACAGUAACUCUCCUGACUGUUUUUCUUCUUCUGCCUUUAGACAAUUACCCAAGGUUAAGAUGCAAUAAACAUGUGCCUAUUUUCUAUCCAAAAUCUCAAUCAGAUUAAAAUGCUUCUCUAAAGACCUGAAAGGCUUAUUUGUUUAUUUGUAUUCAUGUAGGAUUUGGGGGGAUGAAAGAAUUGGUGAUUAAUCAACAUAUUAUUUUCCCAAUAAACAGACUAUUCUGACAAAUGUUUAGUGGCAAAUAAUAGCAACAGCAAUAAUGGCAACAAUAAACUUAGAACAGAAAUGGA